UAGGGAAUCUUCGGCAAUGGGGGCAACCCUGACCGAGCAACGCCGCGUGAGUGAAGAAGGUUUUCGGAUCGUAAAGCUCUGUUGUAAGUCAAGAACGAGUGUGAGAGUGGAAAGUUCACACUGUGACGGUNGCUUACCANAAAGGGACGGCUAACUACNUGCCAGCAGCCGCGGUAAUACGUAGGUCCCGAGCGUUGUCCGGAUUUAUUGGGCGUAAAGCGAGCGCAGGCGGUUUGAUAAGUCUGAAGUUAAAGGCUGUGGCUCAACCAUANUUCGCUUUGGAAACUGUCAAACUUGAGUGCAGAAGGGGAGAGUGGAAUUCCAUGUGUAGCGGUGAAAUGCGUAGAUAUAUGGAGGAACACCGGUGGCGAAAGCGGCUCUCUGGUCUGUAACUGACGCUGAGGCUCGAAAGCGUGGGGAGCGAACAGGAUUANAUACCCUGGUAAUCCACGCCGUAAACGAUGUCGAUUUGGAGGUUGUGCCCUUGAGGCGUGGCUUCCGGAGCUAACGCGUUAAAUCGACCGCCUGGGGAGUACGGCCGCAAGGUUA
Molecule: ribosomal RNA, 549 nt
Filed under: uncultured bacterium
Lineage: Bacteria
Description: bacterial SSU rRNA
Rfam family: Bacterial small subunit ribosomal RNA
Source: RNAcentral